This 76-nucleotide transfer RNA is filed under the name Stagnimonas sp. RNAcentral describes it as "tRNA-Trp". It matches the Rfam family "tRNA". From Rfam's summary of the family: Transfer RNA (tRNA) molecules are approximately 80 nucleotides in length. Their secondary structure includes four short double-helical elements and three loops (D, anti-codon, and T loops). Further hydrogen bonds mediate the characteristic L-shaped molecular structure. tRNAs have two regions of fundamental functional importance: the anti-codon, which is responsible for specific mRNA codon recognition, and the 3' end, to which the tRNAs corresponding amino acid is attached (by aminoacyl-tRNA synthetases). tRNAs cope with the degeneracy of the genetic code in two manners: having more than one tRNA (with a specific anti-codon) for a particular amino acid; and 'wobble' base-pairing, i.e. permitting non-standard base-pairing at the 3rd anti-codon position. Lineage: Bacteria; Pseudomonadati; Pseudomonadota; Gammaproteobacteria; Nevskiales; Nevskiaceae. The record is from RNAcentral.
ACGUCCUUAGCUCAACUGGCAGAGCGCUGGUCUCCAAAACCAGAGGUUGAUCGUUCGAUUCGAUCAGGACGUGCCA